RNAcentral lists this unclassified non-coding RNA (332 nucleotides) under uncultured Glomeraceae. Its description in RNAcentral is "sequence contains 18S rRNA gene". Lineage: Eukaryota; Fungi; Glomeromycota; Glomeromycetes; Glomerales; Glomeraceae. The record is from RNAcentral.
CCCAACUAUCCCUAUUAAUCAUUACGGCGGUCCUAGAAACCAACAAAAUAAGAUCGAACGUCCUAUUUCAUUAUUCCAUGCUAAUGUAUUCAAGCGUUAGCCUGCUUUAAACACUCUAAUUUUUUCAAAGUAACAGUCCAAAUUCCCCGCAACACCAAAUUAAUGGCAUUACGGUUCAUAAGGAAGGAGGAAUCAGUGAGAUCAGUACAUACCAGAGGCAUGACCAACCUACUAACCCCGAAAUUCAACUACGAGCUUUUUAACUGCAACAACUUUAAUAUACGCUAUUGGAGCUGGAAUUACCGCGGCUGCUGGCACCAGACUUGCCCCAA